This 459-nucleotide ribosomal RNA is filed under the name uncultured bacterium. RNAcentral's name for it is "partial 16S ribosomal RNA". It matches the Rfam family "Bacterial small subunit ribosomal RNA", at positions 338 to 795 of the family's 1533-position model. The record is from RNAcentral.
CCUACGGGAGGCAGCAGUGAGGAAUAUUGGUCAAUGGCCGGAAGGCUGAACCAGCCAAGUCGCGUGAGUGACGACUGCCCUAUGGGUUGUAAACCUCUUUUAUAAGGGAAGAAUAAAUGCUACGUGUAGCAUGAUGCCUAUACCUUAUGGAUGAGCAUCGGCUAACUCCGUGCCCGCAGCCGCGGUAAUACGGAGGAUGCGCGCGUUCUCCGGAUUUAUUGGGUUUAAAGGGUGCGUAGGCGGGUUUUUAAGUUGGUGGGUAAACGGCGGGGCUUCACCUUGAUUUGCCAUUAAUACUGUAAGACUCGAGUUCAGACGAGGUAGGCGGAAUAAGUUAAGUAGCGGUGAAAUGCUUAGAUAUAACUUAGAACGCCGAUAGCGAAGGCAGCUUACCAGACUGCGACUGACGCUGAAGCACGAGAGCGUGGGUAGCGAACAGGAUUAGAUACCCCAGUAGUC